CCUACGGGAGGCAGCAGUGAGGAAUAUUGGUCAAUGGACGAGAGUCUGAACCAGCCAAGUAGCGUGGAGGAUGACUGCCCUAUGGGUUGUAAACUUCUUUUAUAUGGGAAUAAAACGUUCCACGUGUGGGAUUUUGUAUGUACCAUAUGAAUAAGGAUCGGCUAACUCCGUGCCAGCAGCCGCGGUAAUACGGAGGAUCCGAGCGUUAUCCGGAUUUAUUGGGUUUAAAGGGAGCGUAGGUGGAUUGUUAAGUCAGUUGUGAAAGUUUGCGGCUCAACCGUAAAAUUGCAGUUGAAACUGGCAGUCUUGAGUACAGUAGAGGUGGGCGGAAUUCGUGGUGUAGCGGUGAAAUGCUUAGAUAUCACGAAGAACUCCGAUUGCGAAGGCAGUUCACUGGACUGCAACUGACACUGAGGCUCGAAAGUGUGGGUAUCAAACAGGAUUAGAUACCCCUGUAGUC
Molecule: ribosomal RNA, 460 nt
Filed under: uncultured bacterium
Lineage: Bacteria
Description: partial 16S ribosomal RNA
Rfam family: Bacterial small subunit ribosomal RNA
Source: RNAcentral